CAGAGUAGAAGCUGCGCCGGUCCGCUGCUCUUUUUGCCCUUUGGGUCUGUGAUUUCUGUUCAGCUAAAAAUAGAUACGAAAAGAAAGCCCGCUCCUAUGCUCCAGUUCGCCUUUCCAGGAAUGCCCCCAAUCUUACAGCCGGUACUGCUGCUCGUGGCCCUAGAGAUGACACCAUGCAUGUGACAUGUGACCCUCGCCUCGAGAAAACACCAACAGUUUUGAGACCGGACGUCUCAGAAUCUGACAUCUUCAAAAGGUUCAUCAGAACUCCUCUACAUUUGCGAACACUCUCAAAGCAAACAAGCGUCUCGAAUGUGUGGUUUGAGAAGAAAUUUUUAAGGAGGAAUCUUCCCCUAGUGCCUGGUGCGCAUUUUAAAUGAAUUGAAGGCUAUUGACUGAUACUGAGG
Molecule: long non-coding RNA, 407 nt
Filed under: Cavia porcellus (domestic guinea pig)
Lineage: Eukaryota; Metazoa; Chordata; Mammalia; Rodentia; Caviidae
Description: lncRNA (ENSCPOG00000030622.1)
Source: RNAcentral